UACGGAGGGGGCAAGCGUUGUUCGGAAUUACUGGGCGUAAAGGGCGCGUAGGCGGCCUUCUAAGUCGAACGUGAAAUCCCCGGGCUCAACCCGGGGAACUGCGUCCGAUACUGGAAGGCUUGAAUCCGGGAGAGGGAUGCGGAAUUCCAGGUGUAGCGGUGAAAUGCGUAGAUAUCUGGAGGAACACCGGUGGCGAAGGCGGCAUCCUGGACCGGUAUUGACGCUGAGGCGCGAAAGCCAGGGGAGCAAAGCGGG
Molecule: ribosomal RNA, 255 nt
Filed under: uncultured bacterium
Lineage: Bacteria
Description: partial 16S ribosomal RNA
Rfam family: Bacterial small subunit ribosomal RNA
Source: RNAcentral